GCAUAACGCGAAGAACCUUACCUAGGCUUGACAUGCAUCUCUAAGCACGUGAAAGCGUGUGACCCUUCGGGGAAUUUGCACAGGUGCUGCAUGGCCGUCGUCAGCUCGUGUCGUGAGAUGUUGGGUUAAGUCCCGCAACGAGCGCAACCCUUGUGACUAGUUGCCAGCACGUUAUGGUGGGAACUCUAGUCAGACUGCCCAGAUCAACUGGGAGGAAGGUGGGGACGACGUCAGGUCAGUAUGGCCCUUACGCCUAGGGCUGCACACGUACUACAAUGCCCAGCACAAUGAGAACCGAGACCGCGAGGUGGAGGAAAUCUAAAAAACUGGGCCCAGUUCGGAUUGGAGGCUGCAACUCGACUACAUGAAGCUGGAAUCACUAGUAAUCGUAGAUCAGCCAUGCUACGGUGAAUACGUUCCCGGGUCUUGUACACACCG
RNAcentral lists this ribosomal RNA (438 nucleotides) under uncultured bacterium. RNAcentral's name for it is "bacterial SSU rRNA". It matches the Rfam family "Bacterial small subunit ribosomal RNA", at positions 954 to 1392 of the family's 1533-position model. The record is from RNAcentral.